UACGUAGGUGACCAGCGUUGUCCGGAUUUACUGGGCGUAAAGAGCGCGCAGGCGGUCGUUCAAGUCGAGUGUGAAAGCCCCCGGCUCAACUGGGCGGGGUCAGCGGAUACGGCAGAGCUUGAGCAAGCUAGGGGGCAAUGGAAUUCCCGGUGUAGUGGUGGAAUGCGUAGAUAUCGGGAGGAACACCAGUGGCGAAGGCGACUUCCUGGACCAAUACUGACACUCAGGUGCGAAAGCGUGGGGAGCAAACAGG
RNAcentral lists this ribosomal RNA (253 nucleotides) under uncultured bacterium. Its description in RNAcentral is "partial 16S ribosomal RNA". It matches the Rfam family "Bacterial small subunit ribosomal RNA", at positions 524 to 776 of the family's 1533-position model. The record is from RNAcentral.